RNAcentral lists this transfer RNA (74 nucleotides) under Microbulbifer aggregans. RNAcentral describes it as "tRNA-Glu". It matches the Rfam family "tRNA". From Rfam's summary of the family: Transfer RNA (tRNA) molecules are approximately 80 nucleotides in length. Their secondary structure includes four short double-helical elements and three loops (D, anti-codon, and T loops). Further hydrogen bonds mediate the characteristic L-shaped molecular structure. tRNAs have two regions of fundamental functional importance: the anti-codon, which is responsible for specific mRNA codon recognition, and the 3' end, to which the tRNAs corresponding amino acid is attached (by aminoacyl-tRNA synthetases). tRNAs cope with the degeneracy of the genetic code in two manners: having more than one tRNA (with a specific anti-codon) for a particular amino acid; and 'wobble' base-pairing, i.e. permitting non-standard base-pairing at the 3rd anti-codon position. Lineage: Bacteria; Pseudomonadati; Pseudomonadota; Gammaproteobacteria; Cellvibrionales; Microbulbiferaceae. The record is from RNAcentral.
GCGGCCAUGAUCGAGCGGAGCGAUACCGGCCUUUCAAGCCGAGGAUGCCGGUUCGAAUCCCGCUGGCCGCUCCA